This 477-nucleotide ribosomal RNA is filed under the name uncultured bacterium. RNAcentral's name for it is "partial 16S ribosomal RNA". It matches the Rfam family "Bacterial small subunit ribosomal RNA", at positions 28 to 507 of the family's 1533-position model. The record is from RNAcentral.
GAUGAACGCUGGCGGCGUGCUUAACACAUGCAAGUCGAACGAGAAGUGAAGACGGAAACCUUCGGGCGGAAGGCUUUAUUUCGAGUGGCGGACGGGUGAGUAACGCGUGGGUAACCUGCCUCAUACAGGGGGAUAACAGUUGGAAACGACUGUUAAUACCGCAUAAGACCACAGCACCGCAUGGUGCGGGGUAAAAACUCCGGUGGUAUGAGAUGGACCCGCGUUCGAUUAGCCAGUUGGCGGGGUAACGGCCCACCAAAGCGACGAUCGAUAGCCGAUCUGAGAGGAUGACCGGCCACAUUGGGACUGAGACACGGCCCAAACUCCUACGGGAGGCAGCAGUGGGGAAUAUUGCACAAUGGGGGAAACCCUGAUGCAGCGACGCCGCGUGAGUGAAGAAGUAUUUCGGUAUGUAAAGCUCUAUCAGCAGGGAAGAAAAUGACGGUACCUGAGGAAGAAGCCCCGGCUAACUACGUG